This 276-nucleotide non-coding RNA is filed under the name Pediculus humanus corporis (human body louse). The record is from RNAcentral. Lineage: Eukaryota; Metazoa; Arthropoda; Insecta; Psocodea; Pediculidae.
GGCGGGAGUGGGGUGGUGUACUCCUGUAAUUCGACUACUCGGAGGUUAGGUAUGGAGGAUGUUUUAGGGGAGGGGGGUUAUGGGAUUGAAUUUCCCACGAUGACUGGGCGUCCGCUAGGGGUAAAUGAGUAUGCCUCGGGGGAGCCCGAGAUAGCCAGGUUGAGUCUGAAAAGGGGAAAAUAAUCAGCCCCCAAAAAUUACCGAAUUGAGAAUCAUGGGUUCAAAUCCUGAGAGUUUAAUUUUAUCUCGUCCAAACAAGUACAGACCUGUACCUAC